Molecule: ribosomal RNA, 1550 nt
Filed under: Klebsiella pneumoniae
Lineage: Bacteria; Pseudomonadati; Pseudomonadota; Gammaproteobacteria; Enterobacterales; Enterobacteriaceae
Description: bacterial SSU rRNA
Rfam family: Bacterial small subunit ribosomal RNA
Source: RNAcentral
AAAUUGAAGAGUUUGAUCAUGGCUCAGAUUGAACGCUGGCGGCAGGCCUAACACAUGCAAGUCGAGCGGUAGCACAGAGAGCUUGCUCUCGGGUGACGAGCGGCGGACGGGUGAGUAAUGUCUGGGAAACUGCCUGAUGGAGGGGGAUAACUACUGGAAACGGUAGCUAAUACCGCAUAAUGUCGCAAGACCAAAGUGGGGGACCUUCGGGCCUCAUGCCAUCAGAUGUGCCCAGAUGGGAUUAGCUAGUAGGUGGGGUAACGGCUCACCUAGGCGACGAUCCCUAGCUGGUCUGAGAGGAUGACCAGCCACACUGGAACUGAGACACGGUCCAGACUCCUACGGGAGGCAGCAGUGGGGAAUAUUGCACAAUGGGCGCAAGCCUGAUGCAGCCAUGCCGCGUGUGUGAAGAAGGCCUUCGGGUUGUAAAGCACUUUCAGCGGGGAGGAAGGCGAUAAGGUUAAUAACCUCAUCGAUUGACGUUACCCGCAGAAGAAGCACCGGCUAACUCCGUGCCAGCAGCCGCGGUAAUACGGAGGGUGCAAGCGUUAAUCGGAAUUACUGGGCGUAAAGCGCACGCAGGCGGUCUGUCAAGUCGGAUGUGAAAUCCCCGGGCUCAACCUGGGAACUGCAUUCGAAACUGGCAGGCUAGAGUCUUGUAGAGGGGGGUAGAAUUCCAGGUGUAGCGGUGAAAUGCGUAGAGAUCUGGAGGAAUACCGGUGGCGAAGGCGGCCCCCUGGACAAAGACUGACGCUCAGGUGCGAAAGCGUGGGGAGCAAACAGGAUUAGAUACCCUGGUAGUCCACGCCGUAAACGAUGUCGAUUUGGAGGUUGUGCCCUUGAGGCGUGGCUUCCGGAGCUAACGCGUUAAAUCGACCGCCUGGGGAGUACGGCCGCAAGGUUAAAACUCAAAUGAAUUGACGGGGGCCCGCACAAGCGGUGGAGCAUGUGGUUUAAUUCGAUGCAACGCGAAGAACCUUACCUGGUCUUGACAUCCACAGAACUUAGCAGAGAUGCUUUGGUGCCUUCGGGAACUGUGAGACAGGUGCUGCAUGGCUGUCGUCAGCUCGUGUUGUGAAAUGUUGGGUUAAGUCCCGCAACGAGCGCAACCCUUAUCCUUUGUUGCCAGCGGUUCGGCCGGGAACUCAAAGGAGACUGCCAGUGAUAAACUGGAGGAAGGUGGGGAUGACGUCAAGUCAUCAUGGCCCUUACGACCAGGGCUACACACGUGCUACAAUGGCAUAUACAAAGAGAAGCGACCUCGCGAGAGCAAGCGGACCUCAUAAAGUAUGUCGUAGUCCGGAUUGGAGUCUGCAACUCGACUCCAUGAAGUCGGAAUCGCUAGUAAUCGUAGAUCAGAAUGCUACGGUGAAUACGUUCCCGGGCCUUGUACACACCGCCCGUCACACCAUGGGAGUGGGUUGCAAAAGAAGUAGGUAGCUUAACCUUCGGGAGGGCGCUUACCACUUUGUGAUUCAUGACUGGGGUGAAGUCGUAACAAGGUAACCGUAGGGGAACCUGCGGUUGGAUCACCUCCUUACCUUAAAGAA